Molecule: ribosomal RNA, 490 nt
Filed under: uncultured bacterium
Lineage: Bacteria
Description: partial 16S ribosomal RNA
Rfam family: Bacterial small subunit ribosomal RNA
Source: RNAcentral
AUUGAACGCUGGCGGCAGGCCUAACACAUGCAAGUCGAAUGGUAACAGGAAACAGCUUGCUGUUUCGCUGACGAGUGGCGGACGGGUGAGUAAUGUCUGGGAAACUGCCUGAUGGAGGGGGAUAACUACUGGAAACGGUAGCUAAUACCGCAUAACGUCGCAAGACCAAAGAGGGGGACCUUCGGGCCUCUUGCCAUCAGAUGUGCCCAGAUGGGAUUAGCUAGUAGGUGGGGUAACGGCUCACCUAGGCGACGAUCCCUAGCUGGUCUGAGAGGAUGACCAGCCACACUGGAACUGAGACACGGUCCAGACUCCUACGGGAGGCAGCAGUGGGGAAUAUUGGACAAUGGGCGCAAGCCUGAUGCAGCCAUGCCGCGUGGAUGAAGAAGGCCUUCGGGUUGUAAAGUACUUUCAGCGGGGAGGAAGGGAGUAAAGUUAAUACCUUGGCUCAUUGACGUUACCCGCAGAAGAAGCACCGGCUAACUCCGUG